UCCCAGGUGGCUCAGAGGUUAAAGUGUCUGCCUGCAAUGCGGGAGGCCCGGGUUUGAUCCCUGGGUCGGGAA
RNAcentral lists this transfer RNA (72 nucleotides) under Bos taurus (domestic cattle). It matches the Rfam family "tRNA". From Rfam's summary of the family: Transfer RNA (tRNA) molecules are approximately 80 nucleotides in length. Their secondary structure includes four short double-helical elements and three loops (D, anti-codon, and T loops). Lineage: Eukaryota; Metazoa; Chordata; Mammalia; Artiodactyla; Bovidae. The record is from Rfam by way of RNAcentral. RNAcentral also lists the same sequence under 2 other names.